This is a long non-coding RNA of Anas platyrhynchos (mallard), 1330 nucleotides long. RefSeq lists it as uncharacterized. NCBI's taxonomy places the organism in Eukaryota, Metazoa, Chordata, Aves, Anseriformes, Anatidae. The record is from RefSeq and is a predicted model, not a curated record.
UUUUUUUUUGUUUGUUUGUUUGUUUAACCCAGCCACUUAAUUAUUUCAAUUUAUUUUUUAUUUCAGAAAAUAUAUUAACUUAUCUGAAACUGAAGAUUUCAUUGUACUGUUGGAUAAAAGCAUUGAGUAUGGGGAGCUGCAGAAAUGGAGCUGCACCAGAAGAGGGAAUGAGUUGGGACACUGUCCUGAGGGCCAGUGGAAGACAUGGAAGACAGAGCUGUGGGCUGGUGACCGGGUCCAUAGACAACUCCCAACAUGGCAGGUGAUGAACUAGGUCCAGGGUCCGUCCAUGGGAUCCAGUCAAGAGCAGAAGGGAACUGGGGCCACAAGCAGGCCUGAAGACAGGCACUCCUACAGCAUAGCACAGGACAAGUCUAGGUGCCCAGGUCUGGGCUUGUGCGUCACCUCUGGGCCUAUGGGCAGAAGUGGAGAGAAGUUUCAGGGUAGAAUGGGCAUGGCCAGUAAGGACUGGUAAUGCCCUGGCUGAAUCUGUGAUGACUUUCUGCAGAGUUGCUCAGUUUCAAUUUUGGGAGAUAUUGUUGGUGGAGUUUGUAUGUAGCCUAAUUUUUUGUCCAUCUUUCUGGGAGAGUUAGAGAAAGCUUCUCUUUUUGUACCUGGUUUUUGCCCUGGUGACUUUUCAGUCCAGUGACAAAGAACUUCUUGAAGUGUCUAGACUCCUAGUACUCCUAGAUUGUAAGAGGUAGGUACUUCCAAAGAGGAUUCAGAAUGAAAGAGUUAAGCAUGAAUCUUUCUUUGUUGUUUGUCAAGAUAUCUUAGGAGAUUUUCUUCACUAACUGGUCAUGCUUUGUGAUAUCUGUCUUGUGAAGAAUCUCUCCUAAAUUUUGAACUUCCGUCAGUUUUUAGGAAUUGUUAAAUAAUUAAUAAAGAGUAUUUGGAAAGUCCUAUGAUGGCCUUGUAUGCAUGUGCACAGGUUUUUUUUUUUUUUUCCUUUUAGUAAAAAUGCCUUUUGUUUCUAAUAGCCUACCUCUUUUUCUCUCUAAUUUUUAGUUUUUCCAAACCAUUUAUAUUGUUUUUCUAUUAUAUUGCUUCACUCUAUGAAAGAACAUGGUGUUCUCUCUAUGCUUUCUCUUCUCUUCAUAAAAACGAAUUGCUAAGACAAGAUAUUUGUUCACAUCUGUUCCAAAACUGUCUUCAUUGAAAUCAAUGGUAAAACUCCUAUGUAAGUUCAGUGGAGCCAGGGUGUCAUCAAUCAUUUUGUAUGUCGCUUAGGUUGACAAAUUACACCAUUUUAUUUCCUGAACUGUUUCUUUUCUGUUCAAAAGGAUUUAAGAACUUCUUUAAACAUUUUGAAUAAAUGAAAGUCCUGGAA